AGCGUGGAGACAGGUGGUGCAUGGCUGUCGUCAGCUCGUGUCGUGAGAUGUUGGGUUAAGUCCCGCAACGAGCGCAACCCUCACCCCUUGUUGCCACCAGGUCAGGCUGGGCACUCUUGGGGAACUGCCCCGGCCAACGGGGAGGAAGGUGGGGAUGACGUCAAGUCAUCAUGCCCCUUACGUCCUGGGCUACACACGUGCUACAAUGGCCGGUACAAAGGGAUGCAAGACUGCGAGGUGGAGCUAAACCCAAAAAGCCGGCCUAAGUUCAGAUUGGAGUCUGCAACUCGACUCCAUGAAGGAGGAAUCGCUAGUAAUCGCGCAUCAGCACGGCGCGGUGAAUACGUUCCCGGGCCUUGUACACACCGCCCGUCACACCACGAAAGCCAGCUGUACUCGAAGUCGCUGAG
Molecule: ribosomal RNA, 410 nt
Filed under: uncultured Methylomirabilota bacterium
Lineage: Bacteria; Methylomirabilota (SeqCode)
Description: bacterial SSU rRNA
Rfam family: Bacterial small subunit ribosomal RNA
Source: RNAcentral